This 803-nucleotide ribosomal RNA is filed under the name uncultured bacterium. RNAcentral describes it as "bacterial SSU rRNA". It matches the Rfam family "Bacterial small subunit ribosomal RNA", at positions 8 to 796 of the family's 1533-position model. The record is from RNAcentral.
AGAGUUUGAUCAUGGCUCAGAGCGAACGCUGGCGGCGUGCUUAACACAUGCAAGUCGAACGUGAAAGUAGCAAUAUGAGUAAAGUGGCGUACGGGUGAGUAACACGUGGGUAAUCUACCUUAGAGUCUGGAAUAACCUGCCGAAAGGCGGGCUAAUACUGGAUAGAUCAAGCGCAUUAUAAAGGUGCGAUUGGGAAAGGGAGCUCGCAAGAGCCUUCGCUUUAAGAUGAGCCCGCGUCUGAUUAGCUAGUUGGUAAGGUAAUGGCUUACCAAGGCGACGAUCAGUAGCUGGUCUGAGAGGAUGAUCAGCCACACUGGAACUGAAACACGGUCCAGACUCCUACGGGAGGCAGCAGUGGGGAAUCUUGCGCAAUGGACGAAAGUCUGACGCAGCCACGCCGCGUGAGUGAAGAAGGCCUUCGGGUUGUAAAGCUCUGUCGGAGGGGACAAAAAACACUUAGGUUAAUAGCCUAGGUGCUUGAUGGUACCCUUAAAGGAAGCACCGGCUAACUUCGUGCCAGCAGCCGCGGUAAUACGAAGGGUGCAAGCGUUGCUCGGAAUUAUUGGGCGUAAAGGGUAGGUAGGUGGUUACGUAUGUCUGGGGUGAAAUCCCUGAGCUCAACUCAGGAAGUGCCUUGGAAACGGCGUAACUAGAGUGCUAGAGAGGUUCGGAAUUCCCAGUGUAGCGGUGAAAUGCGUAGAGAUUGGGAGGAACACCAGAGGCGAAGGCGGCGAACUGGAUAGCAACUGACACUGAACUACGAAAGCGUGGGUAGCAAACAGGAUUAGAUACCCUAGUAGUCC